CACACAGAGAAGAAUGCCUUAAUGGAGGAAGCAGAGACUGCAGUGAUAUGUCAAGGUGAGUGUCUCAAUUUAUUUGUGUUGCUCUUAAAAGAAGUACUUAGGAUUGAGUAACUUAUAAACAGUAGAAAUUUAUUUCCUCACACUUCCAGAGGCUCGGGUCCAAUGUCAAGGUGCUGGAAGGUUUGGUGUCUGAGGAGAGCCUGGUCUUUCCUUCCAAGAUGAUGCUUUAUUGCUGGAUCUUCUGGAAAGGAAGAUGCCAUGUCUUUCCAUGGUAGGAGGGACAGAAUACAAAGGGCAUAGCUAGUUCCCUCCAUACCUUCUUAUAAGGUCACUAGUCUCUCAUAACUUAGUUACCUCCUAAAGGCUCCACCUUUUAUUGCUAUCACAUUGGGGAUUAAGUUUCAACUUGUGAAUUUUUGGAGGGCACGUUUAGCAAGGAACACAAAGGAUUGCAACAGCCACCAGAGUCUGAGAAGGAGGGAGCCCUGGAGCAAAUUCACCCUCACAGCCUCCAAGAAGGAUCAUGCUGGCUGACACCUUGGGUUUAGAUUUCUGUCUUCCUUCACUGUGAGAGAAUAGAUUUUUGUUGUUUUUAAGAUUUCCAAUUUGUGAUACUUUGUUAUAGGGGCUUGGGAAACGAAUACACCAUCUGAUAUGCAUUAUGUUAUUUACCAAUUUGUUUAUCUGUCUCCCUAUUAGGAAGGAAAGGAUUCUUUCUAUCUAUGUUGUUUUCUGCCAUGUCUCCCAUGGCUGGCACAGUGCCUGGCACAGAGCAGAUACCACAAAUACUUCCUGGAAAAAUGAAUACAAGUUUAUUCAGCUGGGCCUGCCAUGUGAUGAUCCAAUGCAAGAAUAUUUCUAGAGUCCACUGUUGAGGGCCUACUGGAUUUUUGGUUUGUGACUGAGAGACAGAAGCCUAAGUUGAGAGGCAGUGCCAAGACUUAGGGCAAAGCCAGUGGGAUUUUACAGGAAUGCAAACCUAGAAUUUUAUCCUCAUGUCAUUUUAAUCCAUUACGUUCAAUGGCUUACAUGGCCGAAGCCUUCCUAACCUGGCACACUAAGCAGCUGGCUUAAUGGUAUGUGUGCGUAUGUGUGUGUGUGUGUGUGUGUGUGUGUGUGUGUGUGUAUGUGCACACUAGUGUAUGUUGUGUGCAUAUGUAAGUGUGUACACAUGGUGUUUGAGAAAUAAAUAUUUCUGAGAACUGUCACUCUAUUACCAUCCUGAUAAAAUUAUUCUUAUUUUGAUUAGGUGCUUGCUAAUUUGUAUGUUCUCACGUUUUCAUAGAUCUCUGCCCAAAUGCAUAAUAAAUGAGAUUCAGGGAAUGGGGAUUUAGCUCAGUGGCAAAGAGCCUUCCUGGUAAGUGCAAGGUCAUGAGCUCGAUUCUGGUACCAGAAGAAAAACAAAACAAAAUGAAAAAAAUAAAAUAAAUGAGGUUCAACCUCACUGUCAAUCAUGUGAUCUGACCAUGAUUCCUAGAAAACGACAGGCUAGACUUUGAUGGUUUGUUCACUAGUCUGUAUGACUGCCUAUGGUCUAAUUUGCCUAAUUUGUGGCCCUUGUAAAAAGCUGCUAAUAAUUUCAAGAUGGUAACAGAAGAACAAUGAACCAAGUGUGAG
Molecule: long non-coding RNA, 1617 nt
Filed under: Chinchilla lanigera (long-tailed chinchilla)
Lineage: Eukaryota; Metazoa; Chordata; Mammalia; Rodentia; Chinchillidae
Description: lncRNA (ENSCLAG00000023993.1)
Source: RNAcentral